RNAcentral lists this ribosomal RNA (709 nucleotides) under uncultured bacterium. RNAcentral describes it as "bacterial SSU rRNA". It matches the Rfam family "Bacterial small subunit ribosomal RNA", at positions 35 to 791 of the family's 1533-position model. The record is from RNAcentral.
GCCGUGGGGGGCUACACACUGCAAGUCGAACGCCGUAGCAAUACGGAGUGGCAGACGGGUGAGUAACGCGUGGGAACGUACCCUUCGGUUCGGAAUAACCCGGGGAAACUCGGGCUAAUACCGGAUACGUCCGCAAGGAGAAAGAUUUAUCGCCGAAGGAUCGGCCCGCGUCGGAUUAGCUAGUUGGUGAGGUAACGGCCCACCAAGGCGACGAUCCGUAGCUGGUCUGAGAGGAUGAUCAGCCACACUGGGACUGAGACACGGCCCAGACUCCUACGGGAGGCAGCAGUGGGGAAUAUUGGACAAUGGGCGAAAGCCUGAUCCAGCCAUGCCGCGUGAGUGAAGAAGGCCUUAGGGUUGUAAAGCUCUUUCAGCGGGGAAGAUAAUGACGGUACCCGCAGAAGAAGUCCCGGCUAACUUCGUGCCAGCAGCCGCGGUAAUACGAAGGGGACUAGCGUUGUUCGGAUUUACUGGGCGUAAAGCGCGCGUAGGCGGAUCGCUAAGUCAGGGGUGAAAUCCCAGGGCUCAACCCUGGAACUGCCUUUGAUACUGACGAUCUGGAGAUCGGGAGAGGUUGGUGGAAUCCCGAGUGUAGAGGUGAAAUUCGUAGAUAUUCGGAGGAACACCAGGAACGGAAGGCGGGCCAAUUGGCCCGAUACUGGACGCUGAGGCGCGAAGCGUGGGGAGCAACCGGAUUAGAUACCCUGGU